Salmo salar (Atlantic salmon) is the source of this 73-nucleotide non-coding RNA. The record is from Rfam. Lineage: Eukaryota; Metazoa; Chordata; Actinopteri; Salmoniformes; Salmonidae.
GUCCCUGUGGCUCAGUUGGGAGAGCAUGGUGUUUGCAACGCCAGGGUUGUGGGUUCGAUUCCCACGGGGGGCC